This is a long non-coding RNA of Capsicum annuum, 1226 nucleotides long. RefSeq lists it as uncharacterized. The transcript is spliced from 2 exons. The record is from RefSeq and is a predicted model, not a curated record. Lineage: Eukaryota; Viridiplantae; Streptophyta; Magnoliopsida; Solanales; Solanaceae.
UUUAUGCUAUUUUUCAUGUUCCAAAAGUUAGGUUUGGGUGCCCCAAAUCAACCACAAUGAGGAUUUUAAUGGCCAAUUGUUCUAUUACCGUAGGAUGUUCUUGUGAAAUAAAACUAGAUGAUACAUUAGAAAUGAGCUAAAUUCAACAUGUCCUGUUGAUGUCCUUUAAUUCAAAUACGAGGUCAUGUUUGACUUUUCAAAUGCUUCACUAUAACUUAUGUGUCUCAUCAGAGGUUUAUUGAACUAACAUCUCACCUCUUAUUUAUGUACAAUUUGGAUCCAUCUCUAUCACCUCUCUCAAUCUUUUGCUUAAAACCAUUACUUGUUGAAUAGUAGCAAUAUCACCAGAGGAUUCCAUCUUUCGAAAGAGGCAAUGAUGAUAUUGCUAACUCUAGGCUGAUAAAUGGGGCAUUGAGAAAACCUGAUUGAUUCACUUUGCAACCAUGGCAUUAUUAUCUUCUAUUUGCCCUAUUUUACACAUAUCUAAGCCUUGAAUUAAAAUGGAUCUUUGUGGAUUCUUCAAGAUCCAGACCCAUAAGCUCUUUUAAUGGAAACCCAGUUCAUUUUCUACUCUUAAGGCCGAUCGAAUCAGAGAAAAUAGGAAAUUUUUAGGGUGUUUGACUAUCUCCGGUAUGUUGAUGAUUUAUUCUUCAUGUUAACCAACAAAUAUUUUAGAUUUUGUAUGUAGAUGAAGUGCACAUAUAGUCGAUUUAGACCUUUCUAAGGUCAUUGGAUGUUAUAAUUUCCUAUGGCCCUGUUUAGAGAAUAUCCAAAGUUUACAAAAUCAUAUAGAGUUACAAAAUAUAGAGUAGUCGAAGCAUAGUACAGAUCUUGAAGUUCUCAAUACAAUUGUGUCACAUUCUAACGCUCAUCGGACAAUGAGAAUCUCAUAUCUGAUGAUGAAUUUCUCCACAGAAGAGGUCGUGCCAUACUUACACAUAAUAGUAAUGGUUUCAUUACAAAACGUCUGAAGUACAGUGGAAUUAGACUGCACAAACAUGGAAGAGGAAGGAUUGGAAGGGGCAGUCUCAUAGAAAGAAGUGAUUUAUCGCUUAUCCCAACACUCUAAUUAAAAUUUGUGUCAAAGGGUAAAAAAAUGAAGAACCACAGAUUAAAUUUUGUACUUUUCUCUCUAUAUUUGGAGUGUGUGAGUGUAUAUUCUCGAAAAAACAAUUUGGCAUUUUUGUCUUAGAACUCACAAAUUCUAUUGAUCUUUAUUUAAAUUA